AAUGAACGCUGGCGGCGUGCUUAACACAUGCAAGUCGUACGAGAAAGGGUGCCUUCGGGUGCCUGAGUAAAGUGGCGCACGGGUGAGUAACGCGUGGGUAAUCUACCUUUAAGUCUGGAAUAACGUUUCGAAAGGGGCGCUAAUACGGGAUAAGACCACAGGAGCUUCGGUUUCAGGGGUAAAAGGUCCUUUUGGGGAUCGCUUAGAGAUGAGCCUGCGUGACAUUAGAUUGAUGGUGGGGUAAAGGCCUACCAUAUUGUCUACGAUGUCUAGCUGGUCUGAGAGGAUGAUCAGCCACACUGGGACUGGAACACGGCCCAGACUCCUACGGGAGGCAGCAGUGAGGAAUUUUGCGCAAUGGGGGCAACCCUGACGCAGCAACGCCGCGUGAGUGAUGAAGGCCUUUUGGUUGUAAAGCUCUGUCGCCUGGAAAGAAACCACAGAUCAGGAAAUGGGUUUGUGCUGACGGUACCAGGAAAGGAAGGACCGGCUAACUCCGUGCCAGCAGCCGCAGUAAAAC
RNAcentral lists this ribosomal RNA (520 nucleotides) under uncultured bacterium. Its description in RNAcentral is "bacterial SSU rRNA". It matches the Rfam family "Bacterial small subunit ribosomal RNA", at positions 29 to 526 of the family's 1533-position model. The record is from RNAcentral.